CGCAGUGCAUCACGGUCGAGAUUUCCGUCGAUUCUCCCGUUCCGGCCAUGAGAUGGCGUCGCCCGAAAGAUCCUCCACGCGGUGCAGCCGGCGUCCAUGCGUCCGUCCGCGAUCACCGCCCAGCCACGUUCUUCCUCCGAAUCAGCCCGAUCCUCCGCCCUCGCUUCAAAACAACAGGAUCCCAGCCGGCUGCAACCAAUGAGCCGUUCCAAGC
This 214-nucleotide long non-coding RNA is filed under the name Phoenix dactylifera (date palm). Its description in RNAcentral is "long non-coding RNA (PDAC_LNC022928)". Lineage: Eukaryota; Viridiplantae; Streptophyta; Magnoliopsida; Arecales; Arecaceae. The record is from RNAcentral.